ACUCAAAGGAAUAGACGGGGGCCCGCACAAGUGGUGGAGCAUGUGGUUUAAUUCGAUGAUACGCGAGGAACCUUACCUAGGCUAGAAUGCGCGUGACCGCCUCAGAGAUGAGGCUUUCCUUCGGGACACAAAGCAAGGUGCUGCAUGGCCGUCGUCAGCUCGUGCCGUGAGGUGUUGGGUUAAGUCCCGCAACGAGCGCAACCCCUACUUUUAGUUGCCAGCGGGUUAAGCCGGGGACUCUAGAAGGACUGCCUGCGCAAGCAGUGAGGAAGGCGGGGACGACGUCAGGUCAUCAUGGCCCUUACGCCUAGGGCUACACACGUGCUACAAUGGCCGGUACAGAGGGUCGCUACUGCGCGAGCAGACGCCAAUCUCACAAAACCGGUCUCAGUUCGGAUCGGAGUCUGCAACUCGACUCCGUGAAGCUGGAAUCACUAGUAAUCGCGUAUCAGCAAUGACGCGGUGAAUACGUUCCCGGGCCUUGUACACACCGCCCGU
Molecule: ribosomal RNA, 498 nt
Filed under: uncultured bacterium
Lineage: Bacteria
Description: partial 16S ribosomal RNA
Rfam family: Bacterial small subunit ribosomal RNA
Source: RNAcentral